Non-coding RNA from Beta vulgaris subsp. vulgaris (sugar beet), 71 nucleotides. The record is from Rfam. NCBI's taxonomy places the organism in Eukaryota, Viridiplantae, Streptophyta, Magnoliopsida, Caryophyllales, Amaranthaceae.
UAGCACAUGAUGAGCUUAUCGGAUUCCCCUUCAAGACUUAUGGGUGAUGUAAACUCCGACUAUCUGAUGCG